Molecule: long non-coding RNA, 1136 nt
Organism: Zeugodacus cucurbitae (melon fly)
Lineage: Eukaryota; Metazoa; Arthropoda; Insecta; Diptera; Tephritidae
Exons: 2
Source: RefSeq, a predicted model, not a curated record
AGGUUUUUUUCGAGCCAAUAUAUGUACAUAUUUAGAAAAUUUUAUCAAACAAGUCAGCUUUUCAUUAAAAAUCUGUUAAAAAUACAAAUUUGAAACUAUUUUUUUUCCUGCGUUUAUUAACUGGAUUUAUCCAUUUACUAUCGAAAUAGUUUUUGUUUAUUGAUUUUGGAUGAACCAGUAAAGUGUUAUGCUUUCGACAGCAAGCGCUUUGUUUGGACACGUCUUGGGAGAUAAGGCACCAACGGCAAACCUCAAAAUCUUUUAGUAUGUAAAAAUACUUCUUUUAAGUUGAACUAGAGGGCAUAAUCAAUCAAAAUACUAUUGUGAAAACUAUGAAUCCUCAAAGUACAUGGAGCCGAUUUAAGUACUUUGGAUGAACUAAGAGUGCAUAGGUAAAACUACCGGCAUAACCAUUAUGUAACGGUAUUGAAACCUUCGAAGUACGCGCAAAAUAUGAACAACUUAUCACAAAUCAAUGAAGAAGAUGGGUACAUAAUUGAAAUUGAUUUCGGAAUACUUUCUAAUUCCGAUCAACUGAAUUCUCAGGAUCUUAUACCCAGUGGCUUGAACCUCAAGGGAAUGGUAGCUGGACGGAAAAUUAGCGAUAAUGAAAGUGUAUUCGGUGAUACUGAGUUCUAUAAUAUUUUAAUGCAAACCUAAAUAAAUCACCUAAAUAUUAAUCAAAAAUUAAGAGAUCACUGCCGGACUUGGUAAAUUGCCAUUGAAGGUUUGUUUUUUUUUUUUGUCUCAAAAAAAUCUACACGAAUUUAUUUAAGGCGAUUUAGUGAUUUAUACGAUUCUUCAAGGUUACAGACGACAUCGAAUGGUUAGUGCGCUCUAAAUUACAUUUAUAAGAGCAAAAUAAACAUUAAAUUGAGAGUAACGGAUAGUUCAAAGACACAUAAACGAGUACUUUCUUGUACGAAAUUUAACUUUGUUGUUGCUUUCAUAUUUAAAUUGUAAUAAAAUAUAUGCCAACGAACCAGAACUAGUAUUUAUCCCCCUGUAUAUAAAUUAACUAACCUAAAAGAAUACUAACAAAUACUCAAAGGAACUACUUAGUCAUAUCUAAAUUAACAUAAUGCAUUAAAAAAAUACUUCUUUUAAAUUGAAAUAUAAAAUAUAAUCGAUCAAUA